This 493-nucleotide ribosomal RNA is filed under the name uncultured bacterium. Its description in RNAcentral is "SSU rRNA". It matches the Rfam family "Bacterial small subunit ribosomal RNA", at positions 26 to 523 of the family's 1533-position model. The record is from RNAcentral.
AGGAUAAACGCUGGCGGCGUGCCUAACACAUGCAAGUCGAACGUCCUUGCGGUCUUCUUCUUCGGAGGAGGACCGCGAGGGAGUGGCGGACGGGUGAGUAACACAUGGGUACCUGCCUUUCAGUGAGGAAUACCGGCGAGAAUCGCCGACAAGACCGCAUAGCCUCGGUGCAAGUCGAGGAAAGCUUUCUCGCGAGAGGGAGCGGCCACACGAGGAGCCUGCGCCCGAUUAGCUAGCUGGUGGAGUAACGGUUCACCAGGGCGACGAUCGGUAGCUGGUCUGAGAGGACGAUCAGCCACACUGGGAUUGAGAACGGCCCAGACUCCUACGGGGGGCAGCAGUGAGGAAUUUUCGUCAAUGGGGGCAACCCUGAACGAGCAACGCCGCGUGCAGGAAGAAGGUUUUCGGAUCGUAAACUGCUUUUCUCGGGGAAGAGAACGGACGGUACCCGAGGAAGAAGCCCCGGCUAACUACGUGCCAGCAGCCGCGGUAA